Molecule: ribosomal RNA, 611 nt
Filed under: Phyllosticta spinarum
Lineage: Eukaryota; Fungi; Ascomycota; Dothideomycetes; Botryosphaeriales; Phyllostictaceae
Description: eukaryotic LSU rRNA
Rfam family: 5.8S ribosomal RNA (bases 233-386)
Source: RNAcentral
UUGUAAUAAACCCUUCAGGUUUUGGAAGGGGGAGCCGUCAAAAGCUCCCCUGGUACAUGCCUCACCCCUUGCAUAUCUACCACGUUGCUUUGGCGGGCCGACCCGGUUUCGACCCGGGCGGCCGGCGCCCCCAGCCUGCUCGCCAGGCCAGGACGCCCGGCUAAGUGCCCGCCAGUAGACAAAACUCCAGCGAUUAUUCUGUGUAGUCCUGAGAAUUUAUUCAAUAAAUUAAAACUUUCAACAACGGAUCUCUUGGUUCUGGCAUCGAUGAAGAACGCAGCGAAAUGCGAUAAGUAAUGUGAAUUGCAGAAUUCAGUGAAUCAUCGAAUCUUUGAACGCACAUUGCGCCCUCUGGCAUUCCGGAGGGCAUGCCUGUUCGAGCGUCAUUUCAACCCUCAAGCUCCGCUUGGUAUUGGGCGACGUCUGCUGCCAGACGCGCCUGGAAGACCUCGGCGACGGCAUUCCAGCCUCGAGCGUAGUAGUAAAAUAUCUCGCUUUGGAGGAUGGGGUGACGGCUUGCCGGACAACCGACCUCUGGUCAUUUUUUCCAAGGUUGACCUCGGAUCAGGUAGGGAUACCCGCUGAACUUAAGCAUAUCAAUAAGCCCGGAG